CAGCUUGCUAAUUGUGAAACACCACCUGCACAUGAAGGUCCGGAUGUGCAUCCCAGUAGUGGAGAGCAUGUAGUCAGUGGUGAGCAAGUGGAGCGUGAUCUGGGUACACAACCUCAAGAACGUGAUGUUCCCCACUCAGGUAAAAAGGACCGUUAUUUCUUUAAACAAAUAUAAUUGCAAUUGGUGUUCAGCAUUAAUGUAACCUUUAGUAUUUCAACUCCAGAUGAUCUAGAGGGUGUUCAGCAUGUUGAGGUUGAGGCUACACAAAAUGAUGUGGCCCCAUCAGAGGACCCCCCUUCGCUUCAGUGUCCUCAUCCUUAGUAUAGGACUAGGCAUACAUUGAGAUCACGAGAAGUUGGAGGAACAUCUGCAGAGGGGGGAAAUGAUGAAGAAACCGAUGUUCCACUUAGUCUUUUCAUAGCUUCAAAGA
This is a long non-coding RNA of Cryptomeria japonica (Japanese cedar), 430 nucleotides long. RefSeq lists it as uncharacterized. Lineage: Eukaryota; Viridiplantae; Streptophyta; Pinopsida; Cupressales; Cupressaceae. The transcript is spliced from 3 exons. The record is from RefSeq and is a predicted model, not a curated record.